RNAcentral lists this transfer RNA (83 nucleotides) under Schistocephalus solidus. It matches the Rfam family "tRNA". Rfam says of the family: Transfer RNA (tRNA) molecules are approximately 80 nucleotides in length. Their secondary structure includes four short double-helical elements and three loops (D, anti-codon, and T loops). Lineage: Eukaryota; Metazoa; Platyhelminthes; Cestoda; Diphyllobothriidea; Diphyllobothriidae. The record is from Rfam by way of RNAcentral.
GGCCUCGUAGCUCAACUGGCUAGAGCGUUGGUUGUAUUAAAGCCUUCCCCUUGCUCGCGUGGGUUCGAAACCCUCCAAGGCCA